GACGAACGCUGGCGGCGUGCUUAACACAUGCAAGUCGAACGGAAAGGCCAGUGCUUGCACUGGUACUCGAGUGGCGAACGGGUGAGUAACACGUGGGUAAUCUGCCUUGCACUCUGGGAUAAGCUUGGGAAACUGGGUCUAAUACCGGAUAUGAACUGCCUUUAGUGUGGUGGUUGGAAAGUUUUUUCGGUGCAAGAUGAGCUCGCGGCCUAUCAGCUUGUUGGUGGGGUAAUGGCCUACCAAGGCGUCGACGGGUAGCCGGCCUGAGAGGGUGUACGGCCACAUUGGGACUGAGAUACGGCCCAGACUCCUACGGGAGGCAGCAGUGGGGAAUAUUGCACAAUGGGCGGAAGCCUGAUGCAGCGACGCCGCGUGGGGGAUGACGGCCUUCGGGUUGUAAACUCCUUUCGACAGGGACGAAGCGUAAGUGACGGUACCUGUAGAAGAAGCACCGGCUAACUACGUG
RNAcentral lists this ribosomal RNA (466 nucleotides) under uncultured bacterium. RNAcentral's name for it is "partial 16S ribosomal RNA". It matches the Rfam family "Bacterial small subunit ribosomal RNA", at positions 28 to 507 of the family's 1533-position model. The record is from RNAcentral.